GCUUACAGUGGCUCGUGUUUUUCAUAUGCAUUUGCUUCAAAGGUAUGAUAUGUCCUGCGUUUUGUAUGAAUUUAUUUUCAGAAGUUCUAGAACUAAUUCAGGGAAUGUGCAUUUUGUUUCAUGCCUUUAAGCGUUCUUUCUCUUAUCGAUUGUCCUGUUUCUGUGCCUCACUUCACUCCAUUUUAUUGUGCAAUUUAUUGCAGCCACUCAAACGGAAUCAUCCUGGACAGUUGAUGUGCCGUCCUCAGUGGAAGGUCUCCUUGGCUCAUGUGUGGUGAUCCCCUGCUCUUAUAACUACCCAGAUAUAACGGUCCAUACAUUCACAGGGAUUUGGAGGAGUGAUGACCGUGUCAUCUAUCAUCCAACUCAGUCUAACACUGUGGAGAAGUAUAGGGACGAACAAAAAUUCUUGGCGACCUCAGCAAGAAAAACUGUUCUCUGAUGAUUGAAAAUCUUGAGCAAAGUGAUGGAGGGCCUUUCUUUUUCAGGAUUGAACUAGACGGUCCAAACAUGUUUUCCUACUUCAAUAACAAAGUCUCUAUUUCAAUGAUCGGUGAACCAAAUCCCACUGAUUUCUUUGUGCAAGAAGAGGUAAAGGAGGGUCAAACUGUAUCUGCAUUCUGCUCUGUGUCUCACUCCUGCCCCACAUAUCCACCUGAUUUCCACUGGAGUCACUCUGGAGAGCGACAUUUUAGACACAGAAUCUUCAAAUGGCCAGUGGAAAGCAACAUCUACUCUGACCUUUCACUCAGACCGCACUGAUCACAACAAACCUUUACAAUGCAGGGUAACAUACCACGGAGGAAAGCAGCGGAAACAUCCAAGACCAUUAAAGUAAAAUAUGCUCCAGUGAAUGUGAAGGUUGAGUACCAGUCAGAUGUGAAUGAGGGAGAAACUGCACACCUGAAGUGCUCCAGUGAUGCAAACCCUGUCAGCAGCUAUGAGUGGCACAGUGAAACUGGAGCUCUGCUGAAUAAGGGACAAACCUACACAAUGUCAAAUGUCUCCAGACACUCAGAGGCCGUGUACUGCACUGCUGUCAAUGAGGAAGGACGAGUCAGAUCAAGCACCGUGAGCUCAAUGUGUUAUGUAAGUAAACAAUACAAGAAAUAUAACAACAGAAGAGAUUUUUCUUUUCAUUCAAACAUAUAAAAUAAUGUAUGGUUAUCUGUAGAUGCUAAUUAUAUCUGCUGUCUAACAGAUGCCCUGACAUUGAGACUUACUCUAAGUGUUCCUCAUAUAACGGCAUAGUAAAGUGUGAUUGCAUCGUACAGUCCAGGCCUCCCAGCAUGGUCCAUUUUGUUCUUGGUGACAGAGUCCUGCAAAUCACCAAAUUAGAGAAAAAUGGCUCUGUUACUACUGGGACUCUGCAGACAGACUUUGGGUCCUUCAAGUUUGUGCACUGCCUGGCAAACAACACAUUGGGAAAUGCUAAUCUCACACUAUCGUUACCUGCUAAUGGUAAGAAAAAAAACUUUGAAUCUCAAGAAAACAGCAUAGAUUAUUAUCACUCUAUAUUUACAUGGCAAAACAAAAAAUAUUCAAUGUGUUUUCUUUUUGAACAGACAACAUGCAGAAUAUUUUCAUAGCCUCUGGAGCAGGUGUGAUUUUUCUGAUAAUUCUGAUAGCCAUUGGAGUGGGAACUGUUAAAAGAUGGUAGGUUGUUAAGGAUAAGUUACACACCAUAAAACAUUAACAGGUAUAAGUUCAAGUCAUGUAAAAUGUCAAUACCUGUUUUAAAUAUGAUCAUAAAAUAAAACAAUAUUUAUCUGCUUCUAAUUGUUGUUGUGAUGUUAUGGUAAUGUUAUAUUUUUGUUAUAUUUUUGGAAAGUCUUAGUUUUUCUCCUGAUGUUUCAAAUUUCAGCAGGGGGCAAUCAGAUGGCACACCAAAAUCUGACUUAAGCACCAUGAGGUCAGACAGACCUGCGGAGCCCCUCGUUAUGCUCAAACAAAAAGGUUUUAAUUCUUCAAAUCAGUUAAAAAAAAAAAAACCCAAAACAAAACACACUUUAUUCAUUAUUAAACAUGAUGAUGAAUAUUUGAUAUAAUUUGUGUGUAGAGGAAAAACACAAACUUCUUUGCUUUUUGCAUUCUUUGUACAGGAAGGAGAACUAUGAGGAUGUCCAUUGCAAUGACAUUUACACCAAUGACAGUGUGUAUGGGAACAUGGAGGUAGGUAAAGUUUGUAUUUUUUAAAAUUUAAUCUAAUCAUGCGUCAAAGACUGGAGUGAACUAAGCAGUCUUUUCUGUGCAGACUGACUGGGAUGAAUCAGUAUACGCCAACAUGUAAUAUAUGUGGAAGACCAGCUGCGGUCAGGUCGGAGUCAAGGAAAAAGAAAAAUCCUAGUGCUAUAUUCAUCUUAUACCACAUACAUAUUAUAUCUCAGUUUUCCUGUCAUCUGUCAUUCACAUUUCUUUGUAAAAUAUUGUAAGUAAGAGAAGUUCUGUUUUGUACUUUUGUUUGUCUGAUCAAAUAAUGUGCUUUGAAAAAUUACCAUUAAAGUUUUGCAAUAAUUACAAAGUUGUCAAGUUACUAAAUAUGUUUAUUAGCUGUUUUAUCGCUAUUGUUUUUGUGAUUAGUUAUUGAACAACAGCACAAGCGUUGCCUAUCCUCUUUAUAAAAAAUGACAUUUAACACAUAGUAGCUGUUAAUGUUUUAACUGGAGAAAAUACUCAGGAAAGCGUGUAAAUUUUAAAACUUAUAUUAACUACAUUGUGAGUUAAUUAAAUGUGCA
This 2735-nucleotide long non-coding RNA is filed under the name Oreochromis niloticus (Nile tilapia). RNAcentral's name for it is "lncRNA (ENSONIG00000031250.1)". The record is from RNAcentral. Lineage: Eukaryota; Metazoa; Chordata; Actinopteri; Cichliformes; Cichlidae.